This 253-nucleotide ribosomal RNA is filed under the name uncultured bacterium. RNAcentral describes it as "partial 16S ribosomal RNA". It matches the Rfam family "Bacterial small subunit ribosomal RNA", at positions 524 to 776 of the family's 1533-position model. The record is from RNAcentral.
UACGGAGGGGGCAAGCGUUGUUCGGAAUUACUGGGCGUAAAGGGCGCGUAGGCGGCCAGUUGCGUCGGGUGUGAAAGCCCCGGGCUCAACCUGGGAGGUGCACUUGAUACGGGCUGGCUGGAAACCGGGAGAGGAUGGUGGAAUUCUCAGUGUAGAGGUGAAAUUCGUAGAGAUUGGGAAGAACACCGAUGGCGAAGGCAGUCAUCUGGACCGGGAUUGACGAUGAGGCGCGAAAGAGUGGGGAGCAAACAGG